Molecule: ribosomal RNA, 253 nt
Filed under: uncultured bacterium
Lineage: Bacteria
Description: partial 16S ribosomal RNA
Rfam family: Bacterial small subunit ribosomal RNA
Source: RNAcentral
UACAGAGGGGGCAAGCGUCGUUCGGAAUUACUGGGCGUAAAGGGCGCGUAGGCGGCCUUCUAAGUCGAACGUGAAAUCCCUGGGCUCAACCCAGGAACUGCGUCCGAUACUGGAAGGCUUGAAUCCGGGAGAGGGAUGCGGAAUUCCAGGUGUAGCGGUGAAAUGCGUAGAUAUCUGGAGGAACACCGGUGGCGAAGGCGGCAUCCUGGACCGGUAUUGACGCUGAGGCGCGAAAGCCAGGGGAGCAAACGGG